AUUCCAGCUCCAGUAGCGUAUAUUAAAGUUGUUGCAGUUAAAAAGCUCGUAGUUGGAUUUCUGACUUCAGAUACCUGACCCUCCCUCGCUAGAGGUGUGUGUGCCGGAGUAUUUGUAUCAUCCUUUCAGUGAUCGGCUCUACCCUUAACCGGGUCGGAGCUGCUAGCUGGAUCUUUUACUUUGAAGAAAUUGGAGUGUUUAAAGCAGGCUUACGCCAGAACAUAUUAGCAUGGAAUAAUAAUUUAGGACUUUUGUUCUAUUUUGUUGGUUUCUAGGACGAAAGUAAUGAUUGAUAGGGAUAGUUGGGGGUGCUAGUAUUCGGCGGCCAGAGGUGAAAUUCUUUGAUCCGCCGAAGACUAACUUAUGCGAAAGCAUUCACCAAGGAUGUCCUCAUCG
Molecule: ribosomal RNA, 396 nt
Filed under: Cercozoa sp.
Lineage: Eukaryota; Cercozoa
Description: partial small subunit ribosomal RNA
Rfam family: Eukaryotic small subunit ribosomal RNA
Source: RNAcentral